UGUCCCAUCAAUGCUGAAAAA
RNAcentral lists this non-coding RNA (21 nucleotides) under Caenorhabditis elegans. Lineage: Eukaryota; Metazoa; Nematoda; Chromadorea; Rhabditida; Rhabditidae. The record is from RNAcentral.